Long non-coding RNA from Mangifera indica (mango), 1004 nucleotides. RefSeq lists it as uncharacterized. The record is from RefSeq and is a predicted model, not a curated record. The transcript has 2 exons. Lineage: Eukaryota; Viridiplantae; Streptophyta; Magnoliopsida; Sapindales; Anacardiaceae.
UCCAACGUCGUCGGACGGAACAGCCGCACUUCCUCCCUGAGUUCCUCUGUCAAACCAUUCAUAAAGAUAUCCAUUAGUGUACUUUCUGUCAACUCCUCAACCUCCGCCGACAGCAACUCGAAUCGACAUCUAUAUUCCUUAACUGAGUCAAUAAGACGGAUGGAGAAUAGCUCCUCCUGAGCUGUGCGUUCGUCUUCUGGCUUGAAAUGCUUGAGAGUUGCGCUUCGAAAAUCUCCCCAGUUGGCAAAUGGUUGUCUUCUCCUCCUCCAGCGAAACCAAUGAAAUGUCGCUCCCUCCAUACACACCCCCACAGCUGUAAGUCUCUCUCGCUCUACUAUUCUGUUAACGUCAAAAUAGCGCUCUAUCUUCUCUAGCCAUUCUAACGUUUUCUCUCCAUCAAACAAUGGUAAAUCUAACCGUCGAAAUUGGACAUCCCUCCGGGUGCCUACCUGGUAGACUUCCUCUUCUCUUCUAUUUUCCGUGGCUUCCUCAUCUCUGCCUACCUCCUCUAUUCUUGUCCGCGAAGGUGUCGGCGUUUCCCCUGUUGGUGAGUGAUGAUAUGGAGAUGGUUCUCUUUCCACAGGUGUUGUCUUCUCCUGGUUCAGAGUUUGUGACGGAGAGGUUCCAGUGUUCAUCGGAGAUUUCCCCUUGUCAUUUCCAUCCUUCCCGACCAUGGCUUCUUUAAGAUCUCGGAGUCGAUCACCCAUUUCUGUCAUCUUCUCAUGGACCAUAACCAUUUCCUUCUCGAGUCCGUCUAUUCGGCCUUCCAUUCUCGAUAUGCUCUGAUACCAAAUGAUAGGUACCUGGAGGUUUUGAGAGCUGGUUCGAUUGAAUCACAUAGCCUCGACCGUCGGAAGUCGAAAGCGUUGGCAAAUCUCAAAUGGAGUUCGUAGGAAUAUUUGUGUUGUUGGCAGUUUAAUAAUGUAUAUUGCAAUGAUAAUGGAACAGCAGACUCUUUAUGUAAAUUUUGUUAUAGAAGCAGAAAUAAACAACUUGCACUUAAA